UACGUAGGGGGCGAGCGUUGUCCGGAAUUAUUGGGCGUAAAGAGCGUGUAGGCGGUUCGGUAAGUCUGCCGUGAAAACCUGGGGCUCAACCCCGGGCGUGCGGUGGAUACUGCCGGGCUAGAGGGUGGUAGAGGCGAGUGGAAUUCCCGGUGUAGCGGUGAAAUGCGCAGAUAUCGGGAGGAACACCGGUGGCGAAGGCGGCAUCCUGGACCGGUAUUGACGCUGAGGCGCGAAAGCCAGGGGAGCAAACGGG
Molecule: ribosomal RNA, 253 nt
Filed under: uncultured bacterium
Lineage: Bacteria
Description: partial 16S ribosomal RNA
Rfam family: Bacterial small subunit ribosomal RNA
Source: RNAcentral